This is a long non-coding RNA of Mytilus trossulus (common blue mussel), 156 nucleotides long. RefSeq lists it as uncharacterized. The record is from RefSeq and is a predicted model, not a curated record. The transcript has 4 exons. Lineage: Eukaryota; Metazoa; Mollusca; Bivalvia; Mytilida; Mytilidae.
UGGGAAGAUAUCAUAACCCUUUAAUGGAGACAGACAAUCCCAUGUCAGAAGACUACCUGUAUUCAGAAAUCAAUAAAGAUCCAAGAGAUAACUAUCCUGCGAUUCCAAAUGGAGGUCCAAGAACAGAACCAAGUCCUGUAACGGAACAGUAAGUAU